Molecule: ribosomal RNA, 254 nt
Filed under: uncultured bacterium
Lineage: Bacteria
Description: partial 16S ribosomal RNA
Rfam family: Bacterial small subunit ribosomal RNA
Source: RNAcentral
UACAGAGGAUGCAAGCGUUAUCCGGAAUGAUUGGGCGUAAAGCGUCUGUAGGUGGCUUUUUAAGUCCGCCGUCAAAUCCCAGGCUCAACUCUGGACAGGCGGUGGAAACUACCAAGCUGGAGUACGGUAGGGGCAGAGGGAAAUUUCCGGUGGAGCGGUGAAAUGCGUAGAGAUCGGAAAGAACACCAACGGCGAAAAGCACUCUGCUGGGCCGACACUGACACUGAGAGACGAAAGCUAGGGGAGCGAAUGGG